UGCCAGACUCCUACGGGAGGCAGCAGUGGGGAAUAUUGCACAAUGGGGGGAACCCUGAUGCAGCGACGCCGCGUGAGUGAAGAAGUAUUUCGGUAUGUAAAGCUCUAUCAGCAGGGAAGAAAAUGACGGUACCUGACUAAGAAGCCCCGGCUAACUACGUGCCAGCAGCCGCGGUCAUACGUAGGAUCUGAGCAUUAUCCGGAGUGACUGGGUGUAAAGAGUUGCGUAGGUGGCAUAGUAAGUAGCUAGUGAAAUCUGGUGGCUCAACCAUUCAGACUAUUAGCUAAACUGCUAAGCUCGAGACCGUUAGGGGUAACUGGAAUUUCUAGUGUAGGAGUGAAAUCCGUAGAUAUUAGAAGGAACACCAAUAGCGUAGGCAGGUUACUGGGACGGUUCUGACACUAAGGCACGAAAGCGUAGGGAGCAAACGGGAUUAGAUACCCCUGUAGUA
This 451-nucleotide ribosomal RNA is filed under the name uncultured bacterium. RNAcentral describes it as "bacterial SSU rRNA". It matches the Rfam family "Bacterial small subunit ribosomal RNA", at positions 329 to 795 of the family's 1533-position model. The record is from RNAcentral.